This 463-nucleotide ribosomal RNA is filed under the name uncultured bacterium. Its description in RNAcentral is "partial 16S ribosomal RNA". It matches the Rfam family "Bacterial small subunit ribosomal RNA", at positions 28 to 523 of the family's 1533-position model. The record is from RNAcentral.
GAUGAAUGCUGGCGGCGCGCCUAACACAUGCAAGUCGAGCGGUAACAUGGACUUCGGUCUGAUGACGAGCGGCGGACGGCUGAGUAACGCGUGGGAACAUGCCCCAAAGUGAGGAAUAACUGCCCGAAAGGGUGGCUAAUGCCGCAUAUGAUCUUCGGAUUAAAGGAUUUAUCCGCUUUGGGAGUGGCCUGCGUACGAUUAGGUAGUUGGUGAGGUAAUGGCUCACCAAGCCUACGAUCGUUAACUGGUCUGAGAGGAUGAUCAGUCAGACUGGAACUGAGACACGGUCCAGACUCCUACGGGAGGCAGCAGUGAGGAAUCUUCCACAAUGGGCGAAAGCCUGAUGGAGCGACGCCGCGUGCAGGAUGAAGGCCUUCGGGUUGUAAACUGCUUUUAUAAGUGAAGAAUAUGACGGUAACUUAUGAAUAAGCACCGGCUAACUACGUGCCAGCCGCCGCAGUAA